Molecule: long non-coding RNA, 573 nt
Filed under: Fragaria vesca (wild strawberry)
Lineage: Eukaryota; Viridiplantae; Streptophyta; Magnoliopsida; Rosales; Rosaceae
Description: long non-coding RNA (FVES_LNC003261)
Source: RNAcentral
AAAAGGAGCUAUGGGAUUAUCAUCAACAGCUUCUAUGAACUUGAACCAGAUUAUGCAGAUCACUAUAGGAUGGCGUUCGGGAGGAGGUCAUGGCAUAUCGGCCCGGUUUCGUUAUGCAACACGGCAGAAAACGAUAAAUUAGCGAGGGGAAGGGAAGGCUCAGUUGAUGAAGUACAUGAGUGCUUGCAGUGGCUUAAUUCUAAGAAACCCAGUUCGGUUGUUUAUGUAUGCUUUGGAAGCCUGAAUACUUUCAGUGAUAGUGUGCUCUUAGAAAUCGCAUUGGGACUUGAGGCUUCACAACAGCAAUUCAUUUGGGUUGUCAAGAAGGAAAACAAUAAUCAAGAAGAGUGGUUGCCUAAAGGAUUUGAGCAGAGAAUGGAUGGCAAGGGACUUAUUAUAAGAGGUUGGGCUCCUCAGCUAUUGAUUCUUCAACAUGAAGCAGUUGGGGCCUUUCUGACUCAUUGUGGGUGGAACUCAAUCCUUGAGGGAGUGACUGCUGGGGUGCCAAUGAUCACCUGGCCGCUGUUUGCAGACCAGUUUUACAACGAGAAGUUGGUGACUCAGAUACUUGGU